UUGGAGGGCAAGUCUGGUGCCAGCAGCCGCGGUAAUUCCAGCUCCAAUAGCGUAUAUUAAAGUUGUUGCAGUUAAAAAGCUCGUAGUUGAAUUUCGGGGUUCUACCGUUGGUCGGGCUAUUGUCUGUACUGGCGUGUAGAAUUUCUACCUUCUGGGGAACUAUCAUGUUAUUAAUUUAGCGUGGUAGGAAACCAGGACCUUUACCUUGAAAAAAUUAGAGUGUUUAAAGCAGGCUAACGCUUGAAUACAUUAGCAUGGAAUAAUGAAAUAGGACGAUCGAUCCUAUUUUGUUGGUUUCUAGGAUUGACGUAAUGAUUAAUAGGGAUAGUUGGGGGCAUUAGUAUUCAAUUGUCAGAGGUGAAAUUCUUGGAUUUAUUGAAGACUAACUACUGCGAAAGCAUUUGCCAAGGAUGUUUUCAUUAAUCAAGAACGAAAGUUAGGGGAUCGAAGACGAUCAGAUACCGUCGUAGUCUUAACCAUAAACUAUGCCGACUAGGGAGCGGAUGAUGUUAAUUUUUUAAUGACUCAUUCGGCGCCUUACGGGAAA
This 547-nucleotide ribosomal RNA is filed under the name uncultured Glomeromycotina. Its description in RNAcentral is "SSU rRNA". It matches the Rfam family "Eukaryotic small subunit ribosomal RNA", at positions 548 to 1097 of the family's 1831-position model. The record is from RNAcentral. Lineage: Eukaryota; Fungi; Glomeromycota.